Molecule: long non-coding RNA, 8875 nt
Organism: Homo sapiens (human)
Lineage: Eukaryota; Metazoa; Chordata; Mammalia; Primates; Hominidae
Exons: 2
Source: RefSeq, a predicted model, not a curated record
UGUUUAUAAAAUAUAUAUUUAUAUAUUUAUAAAUAUGUUUAUAAAAUAUAUAUUUAUAAACAAAUAACUAAUAUAUCACAUUCAUACAUCUGAACCAUGUGAAUGCAUUAUCUAAAACAUUAUAAACAAAGUUUACCAAGGCAGAAUUUUUACAUGUAGACAUCUCAUGAUUCAAAAUGAAUCAGAAAGCUUUGAGGUUCCUUUCUUCCCCCUCCAUAAAGCUCCUCCAUCCUGUCACUACUCACUGGAUUGCUACAGUUCAUGCAUCAUUAUAACUGAUGGCUUCUUAGCAAAGUUAUGAUCAUACAUCAAAUACUCGUUUUAUAAUUUAAAGUGACUGCAGAAUUUACAGGUGCAGUUUCUCGUUCCUCAGCAUUGUGCUUCCUCUGUGCUAGGCCCUGUUGUGUUCUGAGCAUUCUCUUCAUCUCCCUAAUAUCCUGUGAGGUAGGCACUAAUUUUAUCCUUAUUUUAUAGAUGAGAAAACAAGUGCAUAAAAAUACCUACUAACAGUGGACGUGUGCUCUUUACCACUCUAUAUCACCUGCUAUGUUCCUAGGAUAUAUGUAAAACCAAAACCAAAACCAACCAAACAAAAUUCAUCUAAGCGCCAAGAUAAAGCACGGCUUUAUGUAAGUCACUGAGAAAUAUUUGUUGAAAUCUCAAUUUGCAUCCUCAUAGAGUAUGUGUACACAUGUUUUGAAAACACUAUAGUUGGCCGGGCGCGGUGGCUCACGCCUGUAAUCCCAGCACUUUGGGAGGCCAAGGCGGGCGGAUCACAAGGUCAGGAGAUCGAGACCAUCCUGGCUAACAUGGUGAAACCCCAUCUCUACUAAAUAUACAAAAAAUUAGCCGGGCGUGGUGGCGGGCGCCUGUAGUCCCAGCCAUGGGAGGCUGAGGCAGGAGAAUGGCGUGAACCUGGGAGGCGGAGCUUGCAGUGAGCCGAGAUCGCGCCACUGCACUCCAGCCUGGGCGACAGAGUGAGACUCAGUCUCAAAAGAAAAAAAAAAAAGAAACACAAAAAACAAAACAAAAAAUAAAACACUGUAGUUUCUUUUGCAUUGCAUUCUUAAACAAAUCUGUAUUCUAUGAUCAGCUAUUUCCAACAAUCUAGAAAUUAACAGCGCUUACCUCUUUGGAUACAGAGGAAUAAAAACAUCAUCUUCUACUGCCUUUUUCAUUCUUGAAACAAUGGAUUUAAGUAAAUCCUAUUAUUACAAAUUUGAAAAGCAUCAGUGAUAGAAGAUAGAAAUGUAUUUACCAAAAAAAAAGUAAUUUUAACUGCAGUACAAAUUUAUCCACACUCACAUAACCAGCUGUUAAAAUAACUAUCAAUUGGGUACAAAAAAAACCUUAUUUAUCCAUGUUGCUACAUAUGGGUAUAGUUGGAUCAAUUUCAUUGCUAUAUAGUAUUUUGUUGCAUGAAUACUAUUGAUGGAACACUUAGGUGAUUUCUGGUUUGGUGGCUAUUAUAAAUAAUGCUGCCAUAAAAAUUCUUGUACAUGUCAUUUAGUAUGCAUGGUCAUACAUUUCUAAUGGGUAUAUAAAUAGAAAUGGAAUGGCUGGAGUACAGUUCAUGUCCAUACGUUCAACUACGUACAAAAAACCAAACGGUUUCUAGAAUAGUGGCAUCCCAUUUACAUCAUUCCUGCAGUAUAAAAUAAAUCCUGUUUCACUACAUACUUACGAUAAUUGGCAUUUUCUUGUUUUUUAAUGUUUGCAAUUAUAGUGGGUAUGCAGUCAUAUUUCAUUUUGUUGUUUUAAUUCUCAUUUAAUUAUCAUUGAGUAAUGUGCUGUUGGGCAUCUUUUCAUAUUCCUAUUUGCCACUUGGCAAGCCGUUUUGCAAAGUACCUAAUUAAGCUGCUUGCCAACAUUGCUAUUUUUUUGUAUUAGGUUCUGUCUUUUUAUUACUGAUUUGUACAAGUCUUUUAUAUACUCCAGCUGUGGGUCCUUUGUUGGAAAAUCCACUUAGGGAAAUCCAUUUUGUUUGUACAUAAAAAAAUUGGAAAUGACCAAACUAUUCAAUCACAGGGAAUUUUAAGGAGAUGUUACAUCGCUCCAGUGAAUCUAUCAUAAACUUUAGCUGAAGAUUAUGAUGACUACAGUAACAGACAACUAUAAAUACGCAAUGAGAUAACAUUAAGCAGAAGUAGUAUACUAACUUACAUGCCUAUUAGGAUUAUAACUUUGAAAAAAAAGCCAGGAUGAAAAUAUCCUACGAUGGUAUUAAUCCUUGUACUAGGAUGAAAGACAAUGAGUGUUUAUUUUUUUCAUAUAUUAGCAAUAUUUAUAUUAUUUAUAUAAUGAUAUUCUUAUUCAUAUUUGAAAAAUAAAAAUGGCAUACUACACAUUAGAGUAAAAGUUAAUUUUUAAGUCAAUGACAAUGUAUACAGCACAAAUUCAACUGUCACAUACUAUAUACUAACUGAAUUAUCCAUAAAUGUAGAAUUCAAAUAUAUUUUUCUUAAAAAGCAUGACCUGAAGUCGUUUCUCUUUCCACUUAAUUAUCUAUAACAUAUUCCUCAAGUGGCCAUAUAUCAACAUUUAUUUAAUGUUAAAAAUUAAAACUCAGUUGUAUUUUACUCCAUUCUUUAAACAUUCUGAAUUCUGUUCAAAGAAAAAAAAGCAUUUUCUAGACAGUAUCUCCAAAAAAUAGCAUCUGAGUUUAUGUAACUUACUGAGUUAGGUGUUCAUGAUACAAAAAAAGCUGCUUUGAUUUUUUUCAUUUAAUUUUAAUGAUUUUGGAUGCUGGCCUUGACAAAUGUUCCCAUAUUGUUUAAAUUUUGUUUCUUAAAAUAGUUCUAUUGAAAAUGUUAUAAAGGACAUUAUUGAAUCAACUGGCAAAAGUGGAAUAUGGAUGGUAGAUUAAGUGUUGAUAAAUUUACUGAAAUUGCUAACUACUCUGGUUAUAUAACAUAAUAUCCUUGUCUUAACAAAUAUGCACCCUGUUCUCAGUACUCAGGAGAAAACAUAUUGUAUGUAUAUAUUUAAAAUGGAAGGGCUAAUGAUAAAGCCAAUGGGGCAAAAUAUUAAUGACAAGUAAAUCUUGGUAAAGGGAAUAUGGAAAUACUACUCUUAUUCAUGAAAGUUUUCUUUCAAAGUAUUAAUAUUUCCAAAUAAAUUGUUUAAAACAAAACAUAAAUUCACUGGCCGGUUGCCGUGGCUCAUGCCUGUAAUCCUAGCACUUUGGGAGGCUGAGGUGGGUGGGUCACUUGAGGCCAGGAGUUUGAGACCAGCCUGGCCAACAUGGUGAAACCCUGUCUCUACUAAAAAUAGAAAAAAUUAGCCACACAUGGUGGCACAUGCUUGUAAUCCCAGCUGCUUGGCAGGCUGAGGCACAAGAAUCGCUUGAACACAGGAGGUGGAGGUUGCAGUGAGCUGAGAUUGCACCACUGCACUCCAGCCUGGGUGACAGAGUAAGGUUCUGUCAAAAAAAAAAAAAAAAACAAAAAAAAGAAAAGAAACCUCCCAUAAAUUCACAUAUUUUAAAACCGUGAGAUAUUAACUUUUCUAAGUAUUAAAUAACAUCAUUUGUUUGAUGGAAAAUAAGGUUCUCCAAACAGUUUUAACAAGCAUUCUGAAUCACACUUUCAGACUCACAUACAACCCUUUGUGUAUAUAUAUAUACUUUGAAACAGCUUUAAAGAGGCACUUGUGUGAUGCCAAUGGUUUUUAUGCUGUUCUCUAUAUCCAUGGAGGUAAUCCCAGGAUGGCCUGGACAAAUGUUGGGGAUGGUUGGGGAAGAAUAAAGGCAGGUGCUCACAACAGUAGGAGCAGUUUUACUUCUGUAUGUGUGUUUGCGUAUCGGAUUGCGUAAGAUUUAUUUGAAAUAGAUUCUGUUGAUAAAAAAGAAAAAACAAAAAAUGAGUCUGAAAAUCUAUCUGAACUCCCAAGUGAUGUUUAGACUUAUUUUCACAUUUCUACUAAAUGGUCCACCAGCCAUGUCUAAAACCAUUUGCUGAUAGGGGAUCAUUAUCUCCUGAGGCUGCCCAUAACUUUGGACUAUUAGAUUUCAGUUAACAAUGAGAGUUAACAAACUUUUCCCUCCCACAGCUUCCACUCCUUGGUCUUGGUUUACUUCUUGGGAUCAUAUAGAAUAGAACUAGCCCCACUUCCACAUGACAAUUUUCUAGAUUUUAAGAUGAAUAUCAUACUUUUUUUUUUUUUACAUCUUCUCUUUCCCAUACUAUCUUAAGACACUCUCCACUUAAUAUGCUUACACCGAAAAUUAAAUGCAAUAUUCCCAGGAAGGUCUAAUCUGUGGGUAUUAUCACCAAAUAUGCCAUUCUUACUCAAAAUAGCACACACAUACUAGGAGAAACUCCCAUGUACCUGUUUUCUGUUACUCAAGUGACACUGCUGACUCACGCUGGGUUUAUUGAUUAUAAUCUGUCUUACUUAUGCUGCUUCAAAACUGUGUCUCUCUCAUCUUUUACUUAUAUAGUUGAAUUUUUAAACGCAUGGGUGGGACAUGCAUUUAUUUUUUCACAAUUUCUUGAAUCAGUCAAUUUUCUACAAUCUUUUGAAAUCUUCUUGGAUUCUAAUUCUACCAUCCACAAGUCUUACAGAAUUCCUAGCUUUUUGUCACUGACACAUUUCAUUAGUAUGUAUUUUAACUCCUUAUCCAGUUCAAUAAAAAUAUUGAACAGGGCAAAGCUGAGAAGAUAUCUAAUACUAACAGACUCCCCAUAGGUAGCCAAUGCCCUACUGGCCAUUAUUUUUUAGGUUUACUUAAGCUUAUAUUUCCCCAUUUAAUCCCUAAGAACAAUCAUAAUAACAAUUUGCUUCAAUAAACAAUGUUAAGUAUCAUUUGUAUUUGGGAAUCCUAUCAAUGACAGAUUAUAGUAAUUACUGCUUUUUAAAUUUAAGUAUUCAUAAUCUUCCUCUAUAAUAAUUUACUUUAGAUUUUUAGUCAGAAUCAAAACUAUUAUUACCAGGCAUUAGCUUACAGCAUUUCCUUCUAACUUUGAAAACAGAAACUAUGUUGUCUGACUCAAUUUUCAUUCUUGAACCUCAUUCUCUUUCAUCACUGAAGAAAUGGAGUGAUCCCACUGGUGAACUGUCUUAGCAACAUGGGGCAUUAUAUAGUGUAAGUGAUUCUCUACCAAGUGCCAUUUUGCCAUCCCUAGGGAAUACCUGACAAUGUGUAGACAUUUUUGGUUGUGAAGACCGGGGAGUGCUACUGCCACCUAGUGGGCACAAGCCAGGGAUGCUGCUAAGCAUACUAUAGUGCACAGGACAAACCCUCACAACAAAAAAUUAUCUGUUCCAAAUGCCAAUGUAGUGCUGAGACUGAAAACCCUGAUGUAAUCUAUUCUCCUGCUUAUGAAAACAACCCAUUUUCUACAUUCACAGCAGAGCGGUUUCAGAAUAAAAACAUCCAUUAUAAAAACUGCUUGAGUUUGCCUGUAAUCCCAGCACUUUGGGAGGCCGAGGUGGGCGGAUCACAAGGUCAGGAGAUCAAUACCAUCCUGGCUAAUACAGUGAAACCCCGUCUCUACUAAAAGCACACAAAAUUAGCCAGGCAUGGUGGCAGGUGCCUGUAGUCCCAGCUACUCGGGAGGCUGAGGCAGGAGAAUUGCUUGAACCUGGGAGGCGGAGGUUGCAGUGAGCCAAGAUCACACCACUGCACUCCAGCCUGGGUGACAGAGCAAGACUCCGCCUCAAAAAAAAAAAAAAGACUUCAUGAGUGAAUCCAUAAUACUGCUGAAGGGCUUCAGUGAUCACAAAGAGCCAGGUCUACCACUUAGUAUUCAAGUAUUUCAAAAAUGACUUAACCCUUCUGGGCCCCAGCUUCAUCUGUAAAAAUGCAAUUAAAAUAAAUACAUUUCACAGGGUUAUGAGGAUCAAAUGAGACAAUGUGAAAGUAUUUAACAAAUGGUAAAGCAUAAUGAUUUACAUUUAGGUUAUAACUAAACAAUACUAUAUGGAAAGCAAAUGCAGGAUUAUAUAUCUGCUUCUUUGUAGCUUUUAACUACUAAUCUUGGUUCUAUGCUGCAUAACAGCACAGAAUAAAUCUAUACCUUCUUUGAAUACAAACAGCAUCUCUCUGUACAUCUUUCAAAUUAAAUAUCUCUAAUUCCUGCAACAGUUUCCAUCUAUUUUACUUGAGUUUUUAUCCUAUUGGAGGUAAGCAGAAAAUGCCUCUCUCUCUGUUGCCACAUGUUGAAAUCCUAUUCUUUCCCUCAAGCCACAGUUCAAAUGCCACCCCUAAGAUAAAUUAUUUCCUUAUCCCCACUGCUGAAGGUAACCUCUCUCUCCUGUCUCUCUCCUGAAGACACAGUACUUUAUCUAUGCUGCUCAAGGGGAGGCAACAUGGUCAGUGAGGCAAACUUGGGCUUUAGAGGCAGACUAUCCAAGUUCAAAUCCUAGUGCUCAUUCAUAGUAGCACUGUGACAACUAGUUUUAAAGAUUCAUUUUCUUCAUCUAUAAAAUGAGGCUGUCAUCCUUUUAAGAGACAGGGUUUUGCUGUUGCCCAGGCUGCAGUGUGGUGGCACAAUCAAGGCUCAAUGCAGCUUCAACUCCUGGGCUCAAGGGGGAGCCCAGCUAAUUUUUAUUUUUUUGGUAGAGAUGGAUCUUGCUAUGAUGCCCAGGCUGGUCUUGAACUCUUGGCCUGAAGAGAUCCUCCUGCCUCAGCCUCCCAAAGCACUCAGAUAUACAGGCGUGAUCUGCCAUACCUGGCGAUCACCCAUUUUUUAAAUAGGGCUGCUGGGAUUAAGAUGACAGGUACAAGACCUUACAGAGUGCCUAGUACACAAUUGGAAUUAAAUAAGUGUUUGUUAUCUUCCCUACUUCUCCUUUUCACUUCCAGUUUUAAGUUACAGUUUAUGUGCAUCUUAUUUUCUCUGAGAUUACAUGCUUCUUGAAGGCAGAAUUAGGCUGGUAUCCCUUUUCUCCCUUUCAUUUCUUACAGCUAUCCUCCUUUGUAAUCACAGUUCCAAGGGCUAAAACUUAAUGGUGCUCAUAAUAUGAAUAUGAUAUGCCUCCUUGCUUUUCAACCACCUCUGUCAUUCUACUCCGGGCAUUCUCCAGUCUGUCAAUUUCUCCUUAAUUUCCUAAAGCUCAACCUAAAAUUGGUUUACUCAUAAAACUGCAUGAAUCUACAAUCUCAUCAACAAACAAUAAAAAAAAAUGCUACAAUGAAAGAGUGAGAAGAUUCUCAGCAACAUCACUCUAAAAAGUUCCCCAAUAUGUCUUAUGUUCACUGAAUUCAAUUCUAGAUCAUUGUAAGAUUAAGAUCUGUUUUACUGAACUUUGAAUCCUUAAAGAGACUACUAUUAUUUGGUAGACUACAAAUAACUAGUUAAUACAAUAAGUGUCAGUCUAAUUUUGAAACCAUUGUUCAAGCAAAGCCACAAUGCCACUGGAUUUUUGCCAAAAGAACAAAGGUAAUGAGUAUUGUUGUCUUCCUUUAGAAGAAAUGAAUUUGCACUAAUGAAUUUAUACCGGUUCAUCUCUGCAGGGCCAGUGUAUAUUCAUAAUCCUGAAAGAUGGCUGCCUGGGCCAUGAGAACACAAAUCAGAUCACUGAACAGAGAAAAGUACCUUCGAGAUUCAAUCUCUUCUAAAAUCCACUGAGUUUUUUCAUCUACUGAGAAGUUUCCACUUGUGGAUGUCUCAUCUUUGCCUGUUAAUAAAUAAAAUUGACUUCAUACUACAAAUUCUCAAAAGAAAAAAGUAAAAUGCUUUGAAAAUAAAGGUAAUAUCAUGGAUGUAUAAACAUAUGCAUAUGUAAAUACAUAAAUAUGCUUAAAUUUUGCAAUUAAUUAUGCAAUGACAUUUCAAUGUUAACUCUUUAUUGCAAUAUUAACAGGCAUGAGGUUCAUUAGCCUAAAAAUGUACUUUGGCUGGUGUACUUUUGCUGUUGUUGAGAACAGCAACAAAGUUCUACCACAAAGUUUCGUUUUCUCAUAUUCUUUUCCAGUAGUUUCUACCAGUUUUUUUCCAUAGCCAAAUGCAAGAAAUAUUGGCUUUGCCAAUACAGGAGUCCCCCCUAAUCUGCAGGGGACACCUUCUAAGAACCCCAGUCGAUGCCUGAAACUGCAUAUAGCACCAAACCCUAUUUGUUUUUUCCUCUAUAUACACACCUAUGAUAAAGUUUAAUUUAUAAAUUAGGCACUGUAAGAGACUAACAAUAGCAAUAAAGUAGAACAAUGAAAAUAAUAUAUUGUAAGUUAUACGAAUGUUGGGUAUCUCUCUCUCAAAAUAUCUUAUUGUACUGUACUUAUUCAUUUUUGGACCAUUGUUGACUGAAACUGUGGAAAGCAAAACUGCAGAUUAGAGGGAUUACUGUAUUCUAUUCAUAUUAUUUCUUAUUUUAAUACGUAAUACCAUUAUUUAUGAUCCACUAAGGGUUGUGUGUUUCACUGAAAGUCACUUUGCCUUUGCAUUUACUAGCUACUUGGUUAUGGUCUUUCACUAUCUCCUGAUAGCACCUUAAUCAAAGGAAGAUAUCUCUGAAAGUACAAAAUCAAUGCGAAAAAAAAAAGAGGAGGCAUCCGUAUUUUAUAUAAUGAGAUCUUAAAAUCUGUAUUGAAACUCACCAGAACCAAUCUGUAAAAGGGCUCUGAAACUAUGAAGUUAGACUUCUGACAGAGCCUCCAGAAUUAUGUGAACUUGUCUCAAAACAUUCUCUAAAUGGCUAUGUACAUAUUCUGUCUGAAAUAGUAAAUAACUGGAAGUCAUGUUUAUUUUUGAGUCUUGGACUUAAUUUAAAACAUUCUUAAGUCCUAUUUCUAAAUGUUUUGAGUUUUUGGAAGUUGGUGGGUAAAGGGUUUGUGGGAAAAUACAUGAAAAACAUGUUUAUAAAAAUAAAAAUAUUUUUAUUCUUCACAUAAUUUAGCUUAAUGAAUAAUAAAUUGUAUGGAACACGAAAAACA